AGAAUGGUACAUUCCAGAUAAGGGUUGCUCCUUUAGCCUGCAAGUCUAAUUGAGAAGACAGAUGGAGUGGAGCCAUUGCUGGAGCAGAACACUACUGGCCUAAAGUUUACAUGUAAUGUGAGCAAGAAAUAAGCCUUUGUGUUAUAUGACACUGAAAUGUUGGAGUUUGUUAUUCCACCAAAGGCACUAAGUACACGUGCCUAUGAGGACACUAAUAGAUGUGCACUUAUCUGUGGCUUUUUAAAAGGAUUAAAAGAAUAUGUCUUCAAUCUUCUUUAGAUGUGGUCAAUGUACUGGCAGGUCCCAGGAAGAUGCGAUGGUUGGACAUUCGUGGAAGAGACCCAGACUCACCAGGGGGAUAUCCUUCCAGUAUUCCCAGCUCCCUCCUGCUCUCUAUUCUUGAUAUAAAAGAAUAAUUUUGCUUUUUA
This is a long non-coding RNA of Mirounga angustirostris (Northern elephant seal), 428 nucleotides long. RefSeq lists it as uncharacterized. The transcript has 2 exons. Lineage: Eukaryota; Metazoa; Chordata; Mammalia; Carnivora; Phocidae. The record is from RefSeq and is a predicted model, not a curated record.